This 400-nucleotide ribosomal RNA is filed under the name uncultured bacterium. RNAcentral's name for it is "bacterial SSU rRNA". It matches the Rfam family "Bacterial small subunit ribosomal RNA", at positions 28 to 430 of the family's 1533-position model. The record is from RNAcentral.
GACGAACGCUGGCGGCGUGCUUAACACAUGCAAGUCGAGCGGUAAGGCCCUUCGGGGUACGACGAGCGGCGAACGGGUGAGUAACACGUGGGUGACCUGCCUCUAGCUCUGGGAUAAGCCUGGGAAACUGGGUCUAAUACCGGAUAUGACUCCACGGCGCAUGUUGUGGGGUGGAAAGCCUUGUGUGGCUAGAGAUGGGCCCGCGGCCUAUCAGCUUGUUGGUGGGGUGAUGGCCUGCCAAGGCGACGACGGGUAGCCGGCCUGAGAGGGCGACCGGCCACACUGGGACUGAGACACGGCCCAGACUCCUACGGGAGGCAGCAGUGGGGAAUAUUGGACAAUGGGCGAAAGCCUGAUCCAGCGAUGCCGCGUGUGUGAAGAAGGCCUGCGGGUUGUAAAG